This 230-nucleotide long non-coding RNA is filed under the name Lathyrus oleraceus (garden pea). Its description in RNAcentral is "Pisum sativum (pea) long non-coding RNA (PSAT_LNC024940)". Lineage: Eukaryota; Viridiplantae; Streptophyta; Magnoliopsida; Fabales; Fabaceae. The record is from RNAcentral.
AAAGUUACAUGCAUUUCAAGUUUUGAUGACAUUUUUUCUUUUCUUCGAUCUGGAGUUAUUAUGAUGUUUUGGUGCAAAAUGAUGCUUGAUCUUGCAUGUACAUGAGAUGAGGAACUGAUUGGUAUAGGUUUUAAUGAUUUCUGGACACUUUUUUUGAAAUCUUGAAAAUGCAUAUGAAGAUCAUCAUGAUCUUCAUCUUCAACCUAUGAGCUUCAUGCGUUUCCAGAAAC